AGUUUGAUCAUGGCUCAGGAUGAACGCUAGCGGGAGGCCUAACACAUGCAAGCCGAGCGGUAUUGUUUCUUCGGAAAUGAGAGAGCGGCGUACGGGUGCGGAACACGUGUGCAACCUGCCUUUAUCUGGGGGAUAGCCUUUCGAAAGGAAGAUUAAUACUCCAUAAUAUAUUGAACGGCAUCGUUUAAUAUUGAAAGCUCCGGCGGAUAGAGAUGGGCACGCGCAAGAUUAGCUAGUUGGUGAGGUAACGGCUCACCAAGGCGAUGAUCUUUAGGGGGCCUGAGAGGGUGAUCCCCCACACUGGUACUGAGACACGGACCAGACUCCUACGGGAGGCAGCAGUGAGGAAUAUUGGUCAAUGGGUGCAAGCCUGAACCAGCCAUCCCGCGUGAAGGACGACUGCCCUAUGGGUUGUAAACUUCUUUUGUAUAGGGAUAAACCUACCCUCGUGAGGGUAGCUGAAGGUACUAUACGAAUAAGCACCGGCUAACUCCGUGCCAGCAGCCGCGGUAAUACGGAGGGUGCAAGCGUUAUCCGGAUUUAUUGGGUUUAAAGGGUCCGUAGGCGGACUUAUAAGUCAGUGGUGAAAGCCUGUCGCUUAACGAUAGAACUGCCAUUGAUACUGUAAGUCUUGAGUAUAUUUGAGGUAGCUGGAAUAAGUAGUGUAGCGGUGAAAUGCAUAGAUAUUACUUAGAACACCAAUUGCGAAGGCAGGUUACCAAGAUAUAACUGACGCUGANGGACGAAAGCGUGGGGAGCGAGCAGGAUUAGAUACCCUGGUAGU
This 784-nucleotide ribosomal RNA is filed under the name uncultured bacterium. RNAcentral describes it as "bacterial SSU rRNA". It matches the Rfam family "Bacterial small subunit ribosomal RNA", at positions 10 to 794 of the family's 1533-position model. The record is from RNAcentral.